UUUAGGCCUACUCGAAGCUUUUUUAGUUGCAAUUUACCAGCUAGAAAAGUCAAAAAUAGGCCAAUAGGAAAUGGUGACAACCAGUGACUAAACAACUUGUAUCGGGAAGCAGAUGAACGGAUGCAAGAAAUCGAUGAAAGAUUAAUUAGUUGCACAUAU
RNAcentral lists this small nucleolar RNA (159 nucleotides) under Schizosaccharomyces cryophilus OY26. The record is from RNAcentral. Lineage: Eukaryota; Fungi; Ascomycota; Schizosaccharomycetes; Schizosaccharomycetales; Schizosaccharomycetaceae.